UGGGGAAUAUUGGACAAUGGGCGAAAGCCUGAUCCAGCCAUGCCGCGUGUGUGAAGAAGGUCUUCGGAUUGUAAAGCACUUUAAGUUGGGAGGAAGGCCAGUAAGCGACUACCUUGUUGUCUUGACGUUACGGCCAGAAUAAGCACCGGCUAACUCUGUGCCAGCAGCCUCGGUAAUACGGAGGGUGCAAGCGUUAUUCGGAAUUACUGGGCGUAAAGCGCGCGUCGGUGGUUCGUUAAGUUGAAUGUGAAAGCCCCGGGCUCAACCUGGGAACUGCAUCCAAAACUGGCGAGCUAGAGUAGGGCAGAGGGUGGUGGAAUUUCCUGUGUAGCGGUGAAAUGCGUAGAUAUAGGAAGGAACACCAGUGGCGAAGGCGACCACCUGGGCUCAUACUGACACUGAGGUGCGAAAGCGUGGGGAGCAAACAGG
RNAcentral lists this ribosomal RNA (429 nucleotides) under Pseudomonadota bacterium. RNAcentral describes it as "Proteobacteria bacterium partial 16S ribosomal RNA". It matches the Rfam family "Bacterial small subunit ribosomal RNA", at positions 355 to 776 of the family's 1533-position model. Lineage: Bacteria; Pseudomonadati; Pseudomonadota. The record is from RNAcentral.